This 253-nucleotide ribosomal RNA is filed under the name uncultured bacterium. RNAcentral's name for it is "partial 16S ribosomal RNA". It matches the Rfam family "Bacterial small subunit ribosomal RNA", at positions 524 to 776 of the family's 1533-position model. The record is from RNAcentral.
UACGUAGGGCGCAAGCGUUAUCCGGAAUUAUUGGGCGUAAAGGGCGCGUAGGCGGCCCGUCAAGUCCCGUGUGAAAGCCCCCGGCUCAACCGGGGAACUGCACGGGAAACUAGCAGGCUUGAGUUCGGGAGAGGGAAGCGGAAUUUCGGGUGUAGCGGUGAAAUGCGCAGAUAUCCGAAGGAACACCGGUGGCGAAGGCGGCUUCCUGGACCGACACUGACGCUGAGGCGCGAAAGCUAGGGGAGCAAACGGG